Molecule: long non-coding RNA, 302 nt
Organism: Xenia sp. Carnegie-2017
Lineage: Eukaryota; Metazoa; Cnidaria; Anthozoa; Malacalcyonacea; Xeniidae
Exons: 3
Source: RefSeq, a predicted model, not a curated record
AAAGCGAAAAGAAGAGAUGGAUGGUAGGAUUAAGAAAUUACGAGAAAAAUUAAAACAAACAAAACAUCAACUGGAUGAGUGUGUCAAACGAGAAAAUGAUAAAGAAGUAGAGUUGGAAGUUGCCCAUAAUAAGAUUGAAUCAAUGAAUCGUGAACGACAUUAGACAACUUGAAAAUUGAAUACAAUCAGAACAAUAUUGAACGGGCCCGUUCAUUACAGGAUUUCAUUUCACAAUUAACAGAACUUCAGGAGCAAUUUCAAACAUUAGCGCAAGCUCAACAUGAGACAAAAUUACUUUGCAA